This 266-nucleotide non-coding RNA is filed under the name Phaeomoniella chlamydospora. RNAcentral describes it as "Eukaryotic large subunit ribosomal RNA". It matches the Rfam family "Eukaryotic large subunit ribosomal RNA", at positions 3127 to 3401 of the family's 3401-position model. The record is from Rfam by way of RNAcentral. Lineage: Eukaryota; Fungi; Ascomycota; Eurotiomycetes; Phaeomoniellales; Phaeomoniellaceae.
CCUCUAAGUCAGAAUCCAUGCCAGAACGCGGUGAUACCUCCCGCACGUUGUAGACGGAUAAGAAUAGGCUCCGGCCUCGUAUCUUAGCAGGCGAUCCGUCCGCCGGGCUCGAAAGCGCCCGUCGGCAAUUCGCGUAUUGUAAUUUCGACACGAGCGGGAUCAAAUCCUUUGCAGACGACUUAGCUGUGCGAAAGGGUCCUGUAAGCAGUAGAGUAGCCUUGUUGUUACGAUCUGCUGAGGGUAAGCCCUCCUUCGCCUAGAUUUCC